Molecule: ribosomal RNA, 300 nt
Filed under: Triticum aestivum (bread wheat)
Lineage: Eukaryota; Viridiplantae; Streptophyta; Magnoliopsida; Poales; Poaceae
Description: partial small subunit ribosomal RNA
Source: RNAcentral
AUGGAUGAAACUUCUUCGGGAUCGGGAACCGGUGCGUCCGGCUCUGAUCUAGAAGCGAUGAUGGAAGAGCUAGGGCUGAAAGAAGAUGAACUUGAGGACGUGGUUGUGGAAGAAGAUGAGAUGCCAGCAAAGGCUACCCGAUGGAUGAUCAUUGCUAGGGUUCAUACAGAGAAAAGCUACAGCCAAUUCUGGUUCUACAGGAACAUGAGGGUGGCGUGGGACCUAGCAAAAGAAGUUAAGAUCAAGCCGCUCGAGGAGAACCUGUACACAAUGCAAUUCGGCUGUCUGGGAGAUUGGGAA